Molecule: ribosomal RNA, 460 nt
Filed under: uncultured bacterium
Lineage: Bacteria
Description: partial 16S ribosomal RNA
Rfam family: Bacterial small subunit ribosomal RNA
Source: RNAcentral
CCUACGGGAGGCAGCAGUGAGGAAUAUUGGUCAAUGGACGAGAGUCUGAACCAGCCAAGUAGCGUGAAGGAUGACUGCCCUAUGGGUGGUAAACUUUUUUUAUAAAGGAAUAAAACGAGGCACGUGUGCCUUUUUGCAUGUACUUUAUGAAUAAGGAUAGGCUAACUCCGUGCCAGCAGCCGCGGUAAUACGGAGGAUCCGAGCGUUAUCCGGAUUUAGUGGGUGUAAAGGGAGCGUAGAUGGGUUGUUAAGUCAGUUGUGAAAGUUUGCGGCUCAACCGUAAAAUUGCAAUUGAUACUGGCAGUCUUGAGUGCAGGUGAGGUAAGCGGAAUUCGUGGUGUAGCGGUGAAAUGCUUAGAUAUCACGAAGAACCCCGAUGGCGAAGGCAGCUUACUAAACUGUAACUGACAUUGAUGCUCGAAAGUGUGGGUAUCAAACAGGAUUAGAUACCCCUGUAGUC